This 301-nucleotide ribosomal RNA is filed under the name uncultured bacterium. Its description in RNAcentral is "partial 16S ribosomal RNA". It matches the Rfam family "Bacterial small subunit ribosomal RNA", at positions 509 to 808 of the family's 1533-position model. The record is from RNAcentral.
CAGCAGCCGCGGUAAUACGGAGGGUGCAAGCGUUAAUCGGAAUUACUGGGCGUAAAGCGCACGCAGGCGGUCUGACAAGUCAGAUGUGAAAUCCCCGGGCUUAACCUGGGAACUGCAUUUGAAACUGUCAGGCUGGAGUCUUGUAGAGGGGGGUGGAAUUCCAGGUGUAGCGGUGAAAUGCGUAGAGAUCUGGAGGAAUACCGGUGGCGAAGGCGGCCCCCUGGACAAAGACUGACGCUCAGGUGCGAAAGCGUGGGGAGCAAACAGGAUUAGAGACCCCGAGUAGUCCCUGUCUCUUAUA